CACCGGUUUGCGGGAGAGAGCCGAAAGGCCGCCGAAGGGGAAAUCGCCCGAAAUCUCUCAGGCAAAAGAACCGUAAGCCGGAA
RNAcentral lists this non-coding RNA (83 nucleotides) under Aquibium oceanicum. RNAcentral's name for it is "Mesorhizobium sp. B7 Glycine riboswitch aptamer". It matches the Rfam family "Glycine riboswitch aptamer". From Rfam's summary of the family: This family represents the bacterial glycine riboswitch. RNAcentral also lists the same sequence under 1 other name. Lineage: Bacteria; Pseudomonadati; Pseudomonadota; Alphaproteobacteria; Hyphomicrobiales; Phyllobacteriaceae. The record is from Rfam by way of RNAcentral.